AAUCUGCCUUAUGCAGGGGGAUAGCCCGAAGAAAUUUGGAUUAAUACCCCAUGGUAUUUAGAGAUGGCAUCAUUUUUAAAUUAAAACUACGGUGGCAUAAGAUGAGCAUGCGUCCCAUUAGCUAGUUGGUAUGGUAACGGCAUACCAAGGCAACGAUGGGUAGGGGUCCUGAGAGGGAGAUCCCCCACACUGGUACUGAGACACGGACCAGACUCCUACGGGAGGCAGCAGUGAGGAAUAUUGGACAAUGGUCGGGAGACUGAUCCAGCCAUGCCGCGUGCAGGAAGACUGCCCUAUGGGUUGUAAACUGCUUUUGUACAAGAAGAAUAAGACUUACGUGUAGGUUGAUGACGGUAUUGUACGAAUAAGCACCGGCUAACUCCGUGCCAGCAGCCGCGGUAAUACGGAGGGUGCAAGCGUUAUCCGGAAUCAUUGGGUUUAAAGGGUCCGUAGGCGGGCUGUUAAGUCAGGGGUGAAAGUUUACCGCUCAACGGUAAAAUAGCCUUUGAUACUGGCGGUCUUGAAUAUGUGUGAAGUAAUUAGAAUAUGUAGUGUAGCGGUGAAAUGCAUAGAUAUUACAUAGAAUACCGAUUGCGAAGGCAGGUUACUAACACAUCAUUGACGCUGAUGGACGAAAGCGUGGGUAGCGAACAGGAUUAGAUACCCUGGUAGUCCACGCCGUAAACGAUGGAUACUAGCUGUUGGGGAUUUCGGUCUCAGUGGUUAAGCGAAAGUGAUAAGUAUCCCACCUGGGGGAGUACGUUCGCAAGAAUGAAACUCAAAGGAAUUGACGGGGGCCCGCACAAGCGGUGGAGCAUGUGGUUUAAUUCGAUGAUACGCGAGGAACCUUACCAAGGCUUAAAUGUGGAUUGACGUAUUUGGAAACAAGUAUUUCUUCGGACAAUUCACAGGUGCUGCAUGGUUGUCGUCAGCUCGUGCCGUGAGGUGUCAGGUUAAGUCCUAUAACGAGCGCAACCCCUGUGGUUAGUUACCACCGAGUGAAGUCGGGGACUCUAGCCAGAAUGCCGGUGCAACCCCCAGGAAAGUUGGGGAUGACUUCAAUCAUCACGGCCCUUACUCUUGG
Molecule: ribosomal RNA, 1084 nt
Filed under: Sinomicrobium pectinilyticum
Lineage: Bacteria; Pseudomonadati; Bacteroidota; Flavobacteriia; Flavobacteriales; Flavobacteriaceae
Description: bacterial SSU rRNA
Rfam family: Bacterial small subunit ribosomal RNA
Source: RNAcentral